RNAcentral lists this ribosomal RNA (460 nucleotides) under uncultured bacterium. Its description in RNAcentral is "partial 16S ribosomal RNA". It matches the Rfam family "Bacterial small subunit ribosomal RNA", at positions 338 to 795 of the family's 1533-position model. The record is from RNAcentral.
CCUACGGGUGGCAGCAGUGAGGAAUAUUGGUCAAUGGACGCAAGUCUGAACCAGCCAUGCCGCGUGCAGGAAGACGGCUCUAUGAGUUGUAAACUGCUUUUGUACGAGGGUAAACGCAGAUACGCGUAUCUGUCUGAAAGUAUCGUACGAAUAAGGAUCGGCUAACUCCGUGCCAGCAGCCGCGGUAAUACGGAGGAUUCAAGCGUUAUCCGGAUUUAUUGGGUUUAAAGGGUGCGUAGGCGGUCUGUUAAGUUAGUGGUGAAAUCCCGAGGCUCAACUUCGGAAUUGCCACUGAUACUGGUCGGCUUGAGAGUAGUUGCGGUAGGCGGAAUGUAUGGUGUAGCGGUGAAAUGCUUAGAGAUCAUACAGAACACCGAUUGCGAAGGCAGCUUACCAAGCUACUUCUGACGUUGAGGCACGAAAGCGUGGGGAGCAAACAGGAUUAGAUACCCUAGUAGUC